Molecule: ribosomal RNA, 253 nt
Filed under: uncultured bacterium
Lineage: Bacteria
Description: partial 16S ribosomal RNA
Rfam family: Bacterial small subunit ribosomal RNA
Source: RNAcentral
UACGUAGGGUGCGAGCGUUAAUCGGAAUUACUGGGCGUAAAGCGUGCGCAGGCGGCGCGUUAAGACAGGUGUGAAAGCCCCGAGCUUAACUUGGGAAUUGCGCUUGUGACUGGCGUGCUGGAGUGUGGCAGAGGGAGGUGGAAUUCCACGUGUAGCAGUGAAAUGCGUAGAGAUGUGGAGGAACACCGAUGGCGAAGGCAGCCUCCUGGGCCGGCACUGACGCUCAUGCACGAAAGCGUGGGGAGCAAACAGG